Molecule: microRNA precursor, 126 nt
Filed under: Picea abies (Norway spruce)
Lineage: Eukaryota; Viridiplantae; Streptophyta; Pinopsida; Pinales; Pinaceae
Description: miR11573b stem-loop (pab-MIR11573b)
Source: miRBase by way of RNAcentral
CCGGUUCUUGGGCCUUAGGCCGAAAUUGGGGAGCGUAUUGUAGAUUCAAAACUGGUGGAUUCCAGGGAGUGCAGUUUUGAAUCUAUAAUACUCUCCACCAGUUUCAGCCGAAGGCCCAAGAGCUGG